AGUGAACGCUGGCGGUAGGCCUAACACAUGCAAGUCGAACGGCAGCACAGUAAGAGCUUGCUCUUACGGGUGGCGAGUGGCGGACGGGUGAGGAAUACAUCGGAAUCUACCUUUUCGUGGGGGAUAACGUAGGGAAACUUACGCUAAUACCGCAUACGACCUACGGGUGAAAGCAGGGGAUCUUCGGACCUUGCGCGAUUGAAUGAGCCGAUGUCGGAUUAGCUAGUUGGCGGGGUAAAGGCCCACCAAGGCGACGAUCCGUAGCUGGUCUGAGAGGAUGAUCAGCCACACGGGAACUGAGACGCGGUCCAGACUCCGACGGGAGGCAGCAGUGGGGAAUAUUGGACAAUGGGCGCAAGCCUGAUCCAGCCAUACCGCGUGGGUGAAGAAGGCCUUCGGGUUGUAAAGCCCUUUUGUUGGGAAAGAAAAGCAGCAGGUUAAUACCCCGCUGUUCUGACGGUACCCAAAGAAUAAGCACCGGCUAACUUCGU
RNAcentral lists this ribosomal RNA (491 nucleotides) under uncultured bacterium. RNAcentral describes it as "partial 16S ribosomal RNA". It matches the Rfam family "Bacterial small subunit ribosomal RNA", at positions 29 to 506 of the family's 1533-position model. The record is from RNAcentral.